Molecule: ribosomal RNA, 468 nt
Filed under: uncultured bacterium
Lineage: Bacteria
Description: partial 16S ribosomal RNA
Rfam family: Bacterial small subunit ribosomal RNA
Source: RNAcentral
GAUGAACGCUGGCGGCGUGCUUAACACAUGCAAGUCGAACGGAAAGGCCCUGCUUUUGUGGGGUGUUCGAGUGGCGAACGGGUGAGUAACACGUGAGUAACCUGCCCUUGACUUUGGGAUAACUUCAGGAAACUGGGGCUAAUACCGGAUAGGAGCUCCUGCUGCAUGGUGGGGGUUGGAAAGUUUCGGCGGUUGGGGAUGGACUCGCGGCUUAUCAGCUUGUUGGUGGGGUAGUGGCUUACCAAGGCUUUGACGGGUAGCCGGCCUGAGAGGGUGACCGGCCACAUUGGGACUGAGAUACGGCCCAGACUCCUACGGGAGGCAGCAGUGGGGAAUAUUGCACAAUGGGCGGAAGCCUGAUGCAGCAACGCCGCGUGCGGGAUGACGGCCUUCGGGUUGUAAACCGCUUUCGCCUGUGACGAAGCGUGAGUGACGGUAAUGGGUAAAGAAGCACCGGCUAACUACGUG